UGGGGAAUAUUGCACAAUGGGCGCAAGCCUGAUGCAGCCAUGCCGCGUGUGUGAAGAAGGCCUUCGGGUUGUAAAGCACUUUCAGCGAGGAGGAAGGUGGUGAGCUUAAUACGCUCAUCAAUUGACGUUACUCGCAGAAGAAGCACCGGCUAACUCCGUGCCAGCAGCCGCGGUAAUACGGAGGGUGCAAGCGUUAAUCGGAAUUACUGGGCGUAAAGCGCACGCAGGCGGUUUGUUAAGUCAGAUGUGAAAUCCCCGGGCUCAACCUGGGAACUGCAUUUGAAGCUGGCAAGCUAGAGUCUCGUAGAGGGGGGUAGAAUUCCAGGUGUAGCGAUGAAAUGCGUAGAGAUCUGGAGGAAUACCGGUGGCGAAGGCGGCCCCCUGGACGAAGACUGACGCUCAGGUGCGAAAGCGUGGGGAGCAAAACAGGAUUAGAUACCCUGGUAGUCCACGCUGUAAAACGAUGUCGAUUUGGAGGUUGUGCCCUUGAGGCGUGGCUUCCGGAGCUAACGCGUUAAAUCGACCGCCUGGGGAGUACGGCCGCAAGGUUAAAACUCAAAGGAAUUGACGGGGUCAUAGCUGUUUCCUG
RNAcentral lists this ribosomal RNA (589 nucleotides) under uncultured bacterium. RNAcentral describes it as "partial 16S ribosomal RNA". It matches the Rfam family "Bacterial small subunit ribosomal RNA", at positions 355 to 1376 of the family's 1533-position model. The record is from RNAcentral.